This 110-nucleotide ribosomal RNA is filed under the name Carthamus tinctorius (safflower). RNAcentral describes it as "partial 5.8S ribosomal RNA". It matches the Rfam family "5.8S ribosomal RNA", at positions 47 to 154 of the family's 154-position model. From Rfam's summary of the family: 5.8S ribosomal RNA (5.8S rRNA) is a component of the large subunit of the eukaryotic ribosome. The record is from RNAcentral. Lineage: Eukaryota; Viridiplantae; Streptophyta; Magnoliopsida; Asterales; Asteraceae.
UUUUUAUUGCGAUACUUGGUGUGAAUUGCAGAAUCCCGUGAACCAUCGAGUUUUUGAACGCAAGUGGCGCCCGAAGCCAUUCGGCCGAGGGCACGUCUGCCUGGGCGUCA